CAGCCGCCGCGGGAAUACGAAGGGUGCAAGCGUUAAUCGGAAUUACUGGGCGUAAAGCGUGCGCAGGCGGUUGUGUAAGACAGGUGUGAAAUCCCCGGGCUUAACCUGGGAACUGCGCUUGUGACUGCACAGCUAGAGUAUGGCAGAGGGGGGUGGAAUUCCACGUGUAGCAGUGAAAUGCGUAGAGAUGUGGAGGAACACCGAUGGCGAAGGCAGCCCCCUGGGCCAAUACUGACGCUCAUGCACGAAAGCGUGGGGAGCAAACAGGAUUAGAUACCCCUGUAGUCCCUGUCUCUUAUAU
This 301-nucleotide ribosomal RNA is filed under the name uncultured bacterium. RNAcentral's name for it is "partial 16S ribosomal RNA". It matches the Rfam family "Bacterial small subunit ribosomal RNA", at positions 509 to 809 of the family's 1533-position model. The record is from RNAcentral.